RNAcentral lists this ribosomal RNA (246 nucleotides) under uncultured Leptotrichia sp. Its description in RNAcentral is "partial 16S ribosomal RNA". It matches the Rfam family "Bacterial small subunit ribosomal RNA", at positions 109 to 355 of the family's 1533-position model. Lineage: Bacteria; Fusobacteriati; Fusobacteriota; Fusobacteriia; Fusobacteriales; Leptotrichiaceae. The record is from RNAcentral.
AGUAACGCGUAAAGAACUUGCCCUUUAGACUGGGAUAACAGAGGGAAACUUCUGAUAAUACUGGAUAAGUUAGUAUAUCGCAUGAUAUGCAAAUGAAAGCUACGGCACUAAAGGAGAGCUUUGCGUCCUAUUAGCUAGUUGGUAAGGUAAGAGCUUACCAAGGCGAUGAUAGGUAGCCGGCCUGAGAGGGUGGACGGCCACAAGGGGACUGAGAUACGGCCCUUACUCCUACGGGAGGCAGCAGCA